This is a long non-coding RNA of Neopelma chrysocephalum (saffron-crested tyrant-manakin), 216 nucleotides long. RefSeq lists it as uncharacterized. The record is from RefSeq and is a predicted model, not a curated record. The transcript is spliced from 4 exons. NCBI's taxonomy places the organism in Eukaryota, Metazoa, Chordata, Aves, Passeriformes, Pipridae.
AACUGGAUCGGGACCCCCACGCGGGUGUUCAACGUGGGGGAGUAUCGCAGGGAGGCCGUGCCCAGGUACGAGAACUACGAGUUCUUUCGCCACGACAACCCCGAGGGGAUGGAAAUCCGCAGGCACUGCGCCCUGGCCGCCCUCAAGGACGUCCGGACCUACCUGAGCUCUGAGGGGGGGCAGGUGGCGGUGUUUGAUGCCACCAACACGACGCGG